RNAcentral lists this ribosomal RNA (450 nucleotides) under uncultured bacterium. RNAcentral describes it as "partial 16S ribosomal RNA". It matches the Rfam family "Bacterial small subunit ribosomal RNA", at positions 354 to 796 of the family's 1533-position model. The record is from RNAcentral.
GUGGGGAAUAUUGGACAAUGGGCGCAAGCCUGAUCCAGCCAUACCGCGUGGGUGAAGAAGGCCUUCGGGUUGUAAAGCCCUUUUGUUGGGAAAGAAAUCCUGUCGAUUAAUACUCGGUGGGGAUGACGGUACCCAAAGAAUAAGCACCGGCUAACUUCGUGCCAGCAGCCGCGGUAAUACGAAGGGUGCAAGCGUUACUCGGAAUUACUGGGCGUAAAGCGUGCGUAGGUGGUGGUUUAAGUCUGCUGUGAAAGCCCUGGGCUCAACCUGGGAAUUGCAGUGGAUACUGGAUCACUAGAGUGUGGUAGAGGGAUGCGGAAUUUCUGGUGUAGCAGUGAAAUGCGUAGAGAUCGGGAGGAACAUCCGUGGCGAAGGCGGCCAUCUGGACCAGCACUGACACUGAGGCACGAAAGCGUGGGGAGCAAACAGGAUUAGAAACCCUGGUAGUCC